UACAGAGGGUGCAAGCGUUGUUCGGAAUCAUUGGGCGUAAAGCGCGUGUAGGUGGCUUUUUAAGUCUAGUGUGAAAGCCCGGGGCUCAACCCCGGAAGUGCACCGGAUACUGAAAAGCUAGAGGGCGAGAGAGGAGAUUGGAAUUCAUGGUGUAGGGGUGAAAUCCGUAGAUAUCAUGAGGAACAUCUGUGGCGAAGGCGAAUCUCUGGCUCGUUUCUGACACUGAGACGCGAAAGCGUGGGGAGCAAACAGG
Molecule: ribosomal RNA, 253 nt
Filed under: uncultured bacterium
Lineage: Bacteria
Description: partial 16S ribosomal RNA
Rfam family: Bacterial small subunit ribosomal RNA
Source: RNAcentral